RNAcentral lists this long non-coding RNA (1517 nucleotides) under Chrysemys picta bellii (western painted turtle). RNAcentral's name for it is "lncRNA (ENSCPBG00000014741.1)". Lineage: Eukaryota; Metazoa; Chordata; Testudines; Emydidae. The record is from RNAcentral.
CCAAGGAGAAUACCAGAGCCACUCCCACUGUACACAGCUGCUAAAGUAGGUCUGGUGGUUGGCUGGGGUGUGGGAGGCAGGCGGUGCGAUUGACUGUGAAGCCCUUAUGGUUUCCUGUGUGCUGACACAGAGCCUGUUUGCCUUCCCAUUGUUACUCACCCCACAACUCGAGCCUGCUUCUGCGAGAGGCCGUGGAAAUGUGCGGCAGCCGAGCUCUCUGACAGUGGGCACAGCAUUUCCACUCGCCACCCCGUCCCCGGAGCCGCGAGACCAGGGCCUCGAUGUGCCGGCCAGAGUGAUCUCCGUGUGAAGUGGAUUUCUGAAGUGGCUCCAGACCGUGGUGAAAGGAUGGCUGGGCCCCAUCUGCCCCCCUUCACUGCCGCCCUGGGACUGGCAUUGCUUGGUGUCCUGGUCUUCCUCUCAGCCCUGUGUGCUGCCUGCAGAAGGAAAGCUAGGAAGAAGGUGGUCCCACCGGAUGGGGUGAAGCUGGUAGAUGUGUCGUUGCUGAGGCAGAUGCAGCUCCGAUCGCUCAGUAAAUCUGACACCAAACUGCAUGAGCUCAACAGGGUGAAGCGCACGGACGAGCACCAAAGACCAGCCAGCGUGGAUUUCCUUUACCCAUCAGGGUCUUUGGGGGAUGGAGAAGGAGCCGUGCAUAGCUCGAGCUUCAGCAUCCUGCUGCACCGAGAGCUGCCCCAGAUCCCCAAUUCCAACCCUUCGGCUGACGCCCUGAGUCCUGACCAGACCUACUCAAACGUGUCCUUCUUAGCCCCGCUGAAACCAGCCCCGGAGGCGCUGUACGAGUGUGCGGCCGUGACUCAGGAAGGGCCUCAACCGAUGCCCAUCUUGGGAACCCCAAUGGAGGCUUCCCCUCUAAGCGAGGAGGACAAGGCAGUGACGGCUGAGUAUGCCUGUGUCCGCAAGGUGAAGAAGAAUUUCCAGCCAGAGCUCCAGGAUGAGACACAGGGCGAAUCCUCCGUGGGGCCUGCAGACCCAGAAGGCUGGGAAGGAGCUGCCUGUAACCCCGCAGCGGUGAAGGUAGAAGAAAUGUACUCGACUGUGUGCAAAGCUGGAAAGAAGAAGAAACACCAAGGCUCUGCUCUGUCCCCCUCUGAAGGAAUGGACACUGGGGAGACGGGCCAAGGAGAACAGGGGUGGCCAGCCGCCCAUCUCAGACAUGUCAGGGUGGGGUAUCAGUCCACACCGGGCCGAGUCUUACUCACUGAGCCCUGCUAUGAGUCUAUCAAGGAUGGAUCCUGGACUGAGCAUGGCAGGAACCCAGCCCCAGAACCGGCCUACGAGGCAGUAGAUGUCAAAUGGAAAAAGCCCAAGAGAAGGGACAAGUCUACCAAGAACUGCCCCACCGAGAACUUGUAUGAAAGUAUCAGCGAAAUGUGGGAAGGGGACCCUAGGAACACAGCUACCCUGGCAGCUCCCAAUGGGUUGGAGAUAUACGUAACAGACUUAUAACGCCUUAUGUAUAGCUGCCCCCUUCCUGGGAAGGUCUGUGCUCCUCC